UACGGAGUUACAAAGGAACGAGGUAGAUGAAGAGGUCUGGAAAGGCCCGCCAUAGGAGGUAACAGCCCUGUAGUCAAAACUUCGUUCUCUCCAGAGUGGAUCCUGAGUACGGCGGAACACGUGAAAUUCCGUCGGAAUCCGGGAGGACCAUCUCCCAAGGCUAAAUACUCCCUAGUGACCGAUAGUGAACCAGUACCGUGAGGGAAAGGUGAAAAGCACCCCGGAAGGGGAGUGAAAGAGAUCCUGAAACCGUGUGCCUACAAGUAGUCAGAGCCCGUUAACGGGUGAUGGCGUGCCUUUUGUAGAAUGAACCGGCGAGUUACGAUCCCGUGCAAGGUUAAGCAGAAGAUGCGGAGCCGCAGCGAAAGCGAGUCUGAAUAGGGCGCAUGAGUACGUGGUCGUAGACCCGAAACCAGGUGAUCUACCCAUGUCCAGGGUGAAGUUCAGGUAACACUGAAUGGAGGCCCGAACCCACGCACGUUGAAAAGUGCGGGGAUGAGGUGUGGGUAGGGGUGAAAUGCCAAUCGAACCUGGAGAUAGCUGGUUCUCUCCGAAAUAGCUUUAGGGCUAGCCUCAAGGUAAGAGUCUUGGAGGUAGAGCACUGAUUGGACUAGGGGCCCCUACCGGGUUACCGAAUUCAGUCAAACUCCGAAUGCCAAUGACUUAUCCUUGGGAGUCAGACUGCGAGUGAUAAGAUCCGUAGUCGAAAGGGAAACAGCCCAGACCGCCAGCUAAGGUCCCAAAGUAUACGUUAAGUGGAAAAGGAUGUGGAGUUGCUUAGACAACCAGGAUGUUGGCUUAGAAGCAGCCACCAUUUAAAGAGUGCGUAAUAGCUCACUGGUCGAGUGACUCUGCGCCGAAAAUGUACCGGGGCUAAACGUAUCACCGAAGCUGCGGACUGUUCUUCGAACAGUGGUAGGAGAGCGUUCUAAGGGCUGUGAAGCCAGACCGGAAGGACUGGUGGAGCGCUUAGAAGUGAGAAUGCCGGUAUGAGUAGCGAAAGAGGGGUGAGAAUCCCCUCCACCGAAUGCCUAAGGUUUCCUGAGGAAGGCUCGUCCGCUCAGGGUAAGUCGGGACCUAAGCCGAGGCCGAAAGGCGUAGGCGAUGGACAACAGGUUGAUAUUCCUGUACCACCUCCUCACCAUUUGAGCAAUGGGGGGACGCAGGAGGAUAGGGUAAGCGCGGUAUUGGAUAUCCGCGUCCAAGCAGUUAGGCUGGGAAAUAGGCAAAUCCGUUUCCCAUAAGGCU
RNAcentral lists this ribosomal RNA (1248 nucleotides) under Bacillus halotolerans. Its description in RNAcentral is "partial 23S ribosomal RNA". It matches the Rfam family "Bacterial large subunit ribosomal RNA", at positions 310 to 1557 of the family's 2925-position model. Lineage: Bacteria; Bacillati; Bacillota; Bacilli; Caryophanales; Bacillaceae. The record is from RNAcentral.